AAAUGUUUAUUCUUACUAUCAGUUUGAAUUAGUGUUAAUUUUAGAGAAAUAUCUUUAAUUUUAGUAUAUUUAAGGAAAUAAUUUUGUUUGUGAUAGUUUAUUAGUACUGUGAAGGAAUAAUUGAUGAAAAAUCUUGAAAAUUUUUAUUUAUAUAAGUAGAUUUUAUUUAUUGUACCUUUNGUAUCAGGGUUGAUUAAAUUUUAUUAAUACUUUUUGAUUUCUCGAUUUCAGAAGAGCUAUAUAAGAAAUAAUUUAUUUGAUGUUGCAUAAUCAUUAAUUAUAUAAGUCAGUAGAGAAAUUCUAUUCGUUUUUAAAGGUAUCUAGUUUUUUAAGAAGUAAAUUUAAUUUAGACUUUUAAUUUAAUUUAUUUAUUUAUACAUUGAUUAUUUUAGGAGUUUAAGAUUUUAGGGGAUAAGCUCUGAUUUUAUUUAUUAAAAAUUUUGAUUAGAAUGAAUCUUUGUAGGGUUAAGAACAUCCAUCAUUAAAGAGUACGUUAUAGUUCAAAUUAUUUCAAGAUGAUUUUCUUUAUUUUAAUAUUUUAUUAAAAUAUUAAAUUUAAUUAUAUUUUUUGAGUAAUAAUGAUUAAAUUAGUAUAAUUUUAUUGUAUUAUAUAUUAUUAUUUGAGAUGAUUAAGUAAGGAACUCGGCAAAUAAGCGCUCGCCUGUUUAACAAAAACAUGUCUUCUUGAUUUAAUUAUAGGAAGUCUGACCUGCCCAGUGGAAAAAUUAUUCAACGGCCGCGGUAUUUUGACCGUGCAAAGGUAGCAUAAUCAUUAGUCUUUUAAUAGAGGGCUGGAAUGAAAGGUUUGACGAGGUGCUGACUGUCUCAUUUAAUUUGAAAUUAAAAUUUAACUUUUCAGUCAAAAGGCUGAAAUAUAUUUGGAAGACGAGAAGACCCUAUAGAGCUUUAUAUUAUAUUUAUUAAUAGUUUUUUGUUAGUAUUAUUUUCUAUUAUUAAAUCAAGUAUUUUGUUGGGGUGACAAAAAUAUAUAAUUAACUUUUUUAUUUAUUUUACAUUGAUUUAUGAUUAUUAGAUCCAAUCUUAUUGAUUGAUAGAACAAGUUACCUUAGGGAUAACAGCGUAAUUUUUCUUCAGAGUUCAUAUUUACAGAGAAGUUUGCGACCUCGAUGUUGGAUUAAGAUAAUAAUUAGGUGUGAGCCCGCUUAAUAUAUAGGUCUGUUCGACCUUUAAAAUCUUACAU
RNAcentral lists this ribosomal RNA (1201 nucleotides) under Tachopteryx thoreyi. RNAcentral's name for it is "partial 16S ribosomal RNA". The record is from RNAcentral. Lineage: Eukaryota; Metazoa; Arthropoda; Insecta; Odonata; Petaluridae.